Molecule: transfer RNA, 75 nt
Filed under: Candidatus Harrisonbacteria bacterium RIFCSPHIGHO2_01_FULL_44_13
Lineage: Bacteria; Candidatus Harrisoniibacteriota
Also listed under: 1 other name
Description: tRNA-Asp
Rfam family: tRNA
About the family: Transfer RNA (tRNA) molecules are approximately 80 nucleotides in length.
Source: RNAcentral
GCGGGCGUAGCUCAGUCUGGUUAGAGCGUCCGCCUGUCACGCGGAAGGUCACCGGUUCAAAUCCGGCCGCCCGCG